Molecule: ribosomal RNA, 429 nt
Filed under: Chloroflexota bacterium
Lineage: Bacteria; Bacillati; Chloroflexota
Description: Chloroflexi bacterium partial 16S ribosomal RNA
Rfam family: Bacterial small subunit ribosomal RNA
Source: RNAcentral
UGGGGAAUAUUGCACAAUGGGCGCAAGCCUGAUGCAGCCAUGCCGCGUGUAUGAAGAAGGCCUUCGGGUUGUAAAGUACUUUCAGCGGGGAGGAAGGGAGUAAAGUUAAUACCUUUGCUCAUUGACGUUACCCGCAGAAGAAGCACCGGCUAACUCCGUGCCAGCAGCUGCGGUAAUACGGAGGGUGCAAGCGUUAAUCGGAAUUACUGGGCGUAAAGCGCACGCAGGCGGUUUGUUAAGUCAGAUGUGAAAUCCUCGGGCUCAACCUGGGAACUGCAUCUGAUACUGGCAAGCUUGAGUCUCGUAGAGGGAAGUAGAAUUCCAGGUGUAGCGGUGAAAUGCGUAGAGAUCUGGAGGAAUACCGGUGGCGAAGGCGGCCCCCUGGACGACGACUGACGCUCAGGUGCGAAAGCGUGGGGAGCAAACAGG